RNAcentral lists this ribosomal RNA (332 nucleotides) under uncultured eukaryote. Its description in RNAcentral is "partial 18S ribosomal RNA". It matches the Rfam family "Eukaryotic small subunit ribosomal RNA", at positions 1470 to 1796 of the family's 1831-position model. The record is from RNAcentral.
CCCUUAGAUGUUCUGGGCUGCACGCGCGCUACACUGUCGGAUUCAGCGAGUCAUAUCCUUAACCGAAAGGUUUGGGUAAUCUUUUGAAAGUCCGACGUGAUGGGGAUUGAUCAUUGCAAUUAUUGAUCAUGAACGAGGAAUUCCUAGUAAGCGCGAGUCGUCAGCUCGCGUUGAUUACGUCCCUGCCCUUUGUACACACCGCCCGUCGCUACUACCGAUUGAAUGGUUUAGUGAGAUCUUCGGAUUGGCGCCUACGCGGCUUCUCUGAGGCCACGCUGGAUGCCGAAAAGUUGCUCAAACUGUAUCAUUUAGAGGAAGUAAAAGUCGUAACA